ACCCGCUGAAUUUAAGCAUAUCAAUAGGCGGAGGAAAAGAAACCAACAGGGCAUUGCUCUAGUAACGGCGAGUGAAGCAGCAAUAGCUCAAAUUUGAAAUCUGGCGUCUUCGGCGUCCGAGUUGUAAUUUGUAGAGGAUGCUUCUGGGCAGCCACCGACCUAAGUUCCUUGGAACAGGACGUCAUAGAGGGUGAGAACCCCGUAUGCGGUCGGAAAGGCACCCUACACGUAGCUCCUUCGACGAGUCGAGUUGUUUGGGAAUGCAGCUCUAAAUGGGAGGUAAAUUUCUUCUAAAGCUAAAUAUUGGCCAGAGACCGAUAGCGCACAAGUAGAGUGAUCGAAAGAUGAAAAGCACUUUGGAAAGAGAGUUAAAAGGCACGUGAAAUUGUUAAAAGGGAAGGGAUUGCAACCAGACUUGCUCGCGGUGUUCCGCCGGUCUUCUGACCGGUCUACUCGCCGCGUUGCAGGCCAGCAUCGUCUGGUGCCGCUGGAUAAGACUUGAGGAAUGUAGCUCCCUCGGGAGUGUUAUAGCCUCUUGUGAUGCAGCGAGCGCCGGGCGAGGUCCGCGCUUCGGCUAGGAUGCUGGCGUAAUGGUCGUAAUCCGCCCGUCUUGAAACACGGACCAAGGAG
This 630-nucleotide ribosomal RNA is filed under the name uncultured fungus. Its description in RNAcentral is "eukaryotic LSU rRNA". It matches the Rfam family "Eukaryotic large subunit ribosomal RNA", at positions 23 to 673 of the family's 3401-position model. Lineage: Eukaryota; Fungi. The record is from RNAcentral.